UGGGAAGUGUGACACAAAUGACUUUGGUAAGGGGUGAGCAACUCACAUAGUAUUAGUUUAACCAAACUGAAUUACCAUGUGAUAGUGAAAGCUAUGCCAUUGCUACUCAUGAUGUCCCUCAGUUUCAUACUGACUCAUGGCCUAGGACUCUGGUUUUCAGACCAAGUACUCUGACUAGAAAAUAUCCUCAUAUUUGAUGGAAGACAGCAUGAGACGGAGAACCAAGUUCCUUAAAGUACGGAAGUGAACUGUCUGUGGGUGACUUGCCUGGAUGCCGGCUAUAGCUGCAGCCCCCAAAGUCGAAGCUACCAGAACAGGUUGGAUGAGGAUGGCCCAAAGAUUAUGGAGUUGCUGGCCCCAAAGCAAGUCAGACACUAUGGGAAGUUUGCAUGAAUCAUGCCCUUGGAUAGACAACCUAAAUCAUACCUCAUCGAGCAUGGAUCCUGGUCAGCAUACCAAGUCAAGGCAAGUAAAGACUGAAGAAAUAUCACCUGGUCUGCAGCUCCCCCCAGAACGAAGUCUGCUACUGAUGGCAGAAGCAUAGAUAGACCAAGGGUAUCACUAUGUAAUGAUGGAAGAAGGAAAAACCCCAUGCAUUCACUCAUGUCUUGAAUCACCUAGAGAAGAGAGGGAAUCUGCCAAAGUGGACACAAUAGAAAUUCAGUUCUAAAUUUGGAGGAAAUGAGGCCCACUCUCAGAUAAGAUGAAAAGUAAAAGCCCUAGGAUCCAAUGGGGUAUUAAACAAAUAUUUAAAAGUAGAGAGGUGGUGACCAGUUAUUUCCUGAUAUAUAGAAUACCAUGGG
This 803-nucleotide long non-coding RNA is filed under the name Homo sapiens (human). Its description in RNAcentral is "non-protein coding RORA-AS2:5". Lineage: Eukaryota; Metazoa; Chordata; Mammalia; Primates; Hominidae. The record is from RNAcentral.